GAGUGUGUCUGAGUUUCCUGCAGCAUCAGGAGAGGGAGAGAGAGACACCAUGAUUCCUACCAAGAUGCUACUGCUCUUGCCGUCAAUGGCUUUGCUGGCCUUGGGGUCUGCUCAGGGCAUCGAUGACGGUAAAUUGGGGAGAUAGAAGAUCAUGCAAGCAUGCGGGAUCUGUGCUUUCCUGCCUAUGUAGAUGAUGAAUUGUUGAAAGAAAACCCCACGGAAUCACAAGUGAAACCUCAAGAAGAAAAUGGAGAUCAGAAUGGCAAGGCGAGCAAAGAUGAAGACAAACACAAUGGACAACAGAAGAAGCCUCAUGACCAUGGUGUCCAGGGAGACCAGGCCACUCUAUUUAACAUAAGUGGCCCACAUCACCCACAUUGCCCACAUUGUCCUGGAGGCCAACAAGGUCCUCAGAGACCAGGUUGCCAAGGUGGUCCAGGUGGCCCACAGGGUCCAGCAGUCCAACAAGGCCCAGGUGGCCAACAACGUCCAGGAGUCCAAGGUGGUCCAGUUGGCCCACAGCGUCCAGCAUGCCAACAGGGCCCAGUUGGCCUACAUCAUCCAGGGACUCAAGGUCAUCCAGAUGGUCCACAGAGUCUAGCAGGGCAACAGAGCUCAGGUGGCCAAGGUGGUCUAGUUGGCCAGCAUGGCUACCGUGGUGUCCAGUGA
RNAcentral lists this long non-coding RNA (669 nucleotides) under Canis lupus familiaris (dog). RNAcentral describes it as "lncRNA (ENSCAFG00040024580.1)". The record is from RNAcentral. Lineage: Eukaryota; Metazoa; Chordata; Mammalia; Carnivora; Canidae.